RNAcentral lists this ribosomal RNA (484 nucleotides) under uncultured bacterium. Its description in RNAcentral is "partial 16S ribosomal RNA". It matches the Rfam family "Bacterial small subunit ribosomal RNA", at positions 30 to 507 of the family's 1533-position model. The record is from RNAcentral.
AUUGAACGCUGGCGGCAGGCCUAACACAUGCAAGUCGAGCGGAUGAAGGGAGCUUGCUCCUCGAUUCAGCGGCGGACGGGUGAGUAAUGCCUAGGAAUCUGCCUGGUAGUGGGGGAUAACGUCCGUAAACGGGCGCUAAUACCGCAUACGUCCUGAGUGAGAAAGUGGGGGAUCUUCGGACCUCACGCUAUCAGCUGAGCCUAGGUCGGAUUAGCUAGUUGGUGGGGUAAAGGCCUACCAAGGCGACGAUCCAUAACUGGUCUGAGAGGAUGAUCAGUCACACUGGAACUGAGACACGGUCCAGACUCCUACGGGAGGCAGCAGUGGGGAAUAUUGGACAAUGGGCGAAAGCCUGAUGCAGCCAGGCCGCGUGUGUGAAGAAGGUCUUCGGAUGGUAAAGCACGUUAAGUUGGGAGGAAGGGCAGUAAGUUAAUACCUUGAUGUUUUGACGGUACCUAAAGAGAAAGCAACGGCUAACUUCGUG